GCCGGGGUGGUGGAAUGGUAGACACGAGGGACUUAAAAUCCCUUGGGGGUUUUCCCCGUGCGGGUUCGAAUCCCGCCCCCGGCA
Molecule: transfer RNA, 84 nt
Filed under: Chloroflexota bacterium
Lineage: Bacteria; Bacillati; Chloroflexota
Description: Chloroflexi bacterium tRNA-Leu
Rfam family: tRNA
About the family: Transfer RNA (tRNA) molecules are approximately 80 nucleotides in length. Their secondary structure includes four short double-helical elements and three loops (D, anti-codon, and T loops). Further hydrogen bonds mediate the characteristic L-shaped molecular structure. tRNAs have two regions of fundamental functional importance: the anti-codon, which is responsible for specific mRNA codon recognition, and the 3' end, to which the tRNAs corresponding amino acid is attached (by aminoacyl-tRNA synthetases). tRNAs cope with the degeneracy of the genetic code in two manners: having more than one tRNA (with a specific anti-codon) for a particular amino acid; and 'wobble' base-pairing, i.e. permitting non-standard base-pairing at the 3rd anti-codon position.
Source: RNAcentral